GAGCAUGUGGUUUAAUUCGAAGCAACGCGCAGAACCUUACCAGCGUUUGACAUCCUCAUCGCGGAUUUCAGAGAUGAUUUCCUUCAGUUCGGCUGGAUGAGUGACAGGUGCUGCAUGGCUGUCGUCAGCUCGUGUCGUGAGAUGUUGGGUUAAGUCCCGCAACGAGCGCAACCCUCGUCUUUAGUUGCCAUCAUUUAGUUGGGCACUCUAAAGAAACCGCCGGUGAUAAGCCGGAGGAAGGUGGGGAUGACGUCAAGUCCUCAUGGCCCUUACACGCUGGGCUACACACGUGCUACAAUGGCGGUGACAACGGGUUGCUACCUCGCGAGAGGAUGCUAAUCCCAAAAGCCGUCUCAGUUCGGAUUGUUCUCUGCAACUCGAGAGCAUGAAGGCGGAAUCGCUAGUAAUCGCGGAUCAGCAUGCCGCGGUGAAUACGUUCCCAGGCCUUGUACACACCGCCCGUCACACCAUGGGAGUUGGAUUCACCCGAAGGCGUUGCGCUAACCCGUAAGGGAGGCAGGCGACCACGGUGGU
Molecule: ribosomal RNA, 534 nt
Filed under: uncultured maize root bacterium Zmrc19
Lineage: Bacteria
Description: bacterial SSU rRNA
Rfam family: Bacterial small subunit ribosomal RNA
Source: RNAcentral